AGUUCAGCAAGAGAUUUCCUUCUCCCUGUUGAGUUUUACCCCAAGGGCCUUUCUACUGCCUCCUCUACCCUUGUAUUUUGCUCAGCUCUCUAAAUUGACUCAGCUCCAGGCUGGGUCACUAGAAAAUCUUCACAGGGAGAUCCCAGGGCAGCAAGAGAGUGAGAAUGGAAACUGCAAGAUUUCUUGAUUCCUUGCUUAGAAAUAACACAAUGUCACUUCAGCUGCAAGUACCAAGACACCUGAAAUUGUGUCCUGAAAAUGUAUACAACAAGACAGAGAAAUUUGCUGAAAAAGCACCACAGCAAGAAACAACUAAUACAUCCAAUCACCAAAAAGAAGAAAGUGACCAUGCUAACUCCUUUACAACAGACAAUCCAGUCAGCCAUCCUGAACAACUUGUCUCUGCAGAUCCAGAAUUCAUCACACCACUGGAUAUAUUGAAUAAAAGAAUGAGUGGUGCAGAGAACCCAUAAAUCAUGAAAUCCGAGAAGUUGGACACAAUGAAUACAGUGUUCUAUGAAGAUAAAUAUUAAUAAUAAAAUUGUUAAAAUUG
Pan troglodytes (chimpanzee) is the source of this 553-nucleotide long non-coding RNA. RefSeq lists it as uncharacterized. The record is from RefSeq and is a predicted model, not a curated record. Lineage: Eukaryota; Metazoa; Chordata; Mammalia; Primates; Hominidae. The transcript is spliced from 4 exons.